This 251-nucleotide ribosomal RNA is filed under the name uncultured bacterium. RNAcentral describes it as "partial 16S ribosomal RNA". It matches the Rfam family "Bacterial small subunit ribosomal RNA", at positions 524 to 776 of the family's 1533-position model. The record is from RNAcentral.
UACGUAGGGGGCGAGCGUUGUCCGGAUUAUUGGGCGUAAAGAGCGUGUAGGCGGCCAGGUAGGUCAGCUGUGAAACUCGAGGCUCAACCUCGAGAUGUCGGCUGAAACCAUCUGGCUAGAGUCCGGAAGAGGAGAAUGGAAUUCCCGGUGUAGCGGUGAAAUGCGCAGAUAUCGGGAAGAACACCCGUGGCGAAGGCGGUUCUCUGGGACGGUACUGACGCUGAGACGCGAAAGCGUGGGGAGCGAACAGG